GACGAACGCUGGCGGCGUGCUUAACAUAUGCAAGUCGAACGGUGAAGCGCUUGCCUUUUUGGUGGGUGUGGAUGAGUGGCGAACGGGUGAGUAACACGUGAGUAACCUGCCCUCUUCUUCUGGAUAACCUCAUGAAAGUGGGGCUAAUACGGGGUAUUCCGGGUCUGUCGCAUGGCGGGUUUGGGAAAGAUUGCGCCUUUGGGUGUUUUCGGUGGGGGAUGGGCUCGCGGCCUAUCAGCUUGUUGGUGGGGUGAUGGCCUACCAAGGCGGUGACGGGUAGCCGGCCUGAGAGGGUGGACGGCCACACUGGGACUGAGACACGGCCCAGACUCCUGCGGGAGGCAGCAGUGGGGAAUAUUGCACAAUGGGCGCAAGCCUGAUGCAGCGACGCCGCGUGAGGGAUGGAGGCCUUCGGGUUGUGAACCUCUUUCGCCAGUGAAGCAGGCCUGCCUCGUUUGUGGGUGGGUUGACGGUAGCUGGAUAAGAAGCGCCGGCUAACUACGUG
RNAcentral lists this ribosomal RNA (505 nucleotides) under uncultured bacterium. RNAcentral describes it as "partial 16S ribosomal RNA". It matches the Rfam family "Bacterial small subunit ribosomal RNA", at positions 28 to 507 of the family's 1533-position model. The record is from RNAcentral.